CCUACGGGCGGCAGCAGUGGGGAAUAUUGCACAAUGGGGGAAACCCUGAUGCAGCGACGCCGCGUGAGCGAGGAAGUAUUUCGGUAUGUAAAGCUCUAUCAGCAGGGACGAAAAAAGACGGUACCCCUUGAAUAAGCCACGGCUAACUACGUGCCAGCAGCCGCGGUAAUACGUAGGUGGCAAGCGUUGUCCGGAUUUACUGGGUGUAAAGGGCGUGCAGCCGGAGAGACAAGUCAGAUGUGAAAUCCACGGGCUCAACCCGUGAACUGCAUUUGAAACUGUUGGUCUUGAGUAUCGGAGAGGCAGGCGGAAUUCCUAGUGUAGCGGUGAAAUGCGUAGAUAUUAGGAGGAACACCAGUGGCGAAGGCGGCCUGCUGGACGACAACUGACGGUGAGGCGCGAAAGCGUGGGGAGCAAACAGGAUUAGAUACCCGAGUAGUC
RNAcentral lists this ribosomal RNA (441 nucleotides) under uncultured bacterium. RNAcentral's name for it is "partial 16S ribosomal RNA". It matches the Rfam family "Bacterial small subunit ribosomal RNA", at positions 338 to 795 of the family's 1533-position model. The record is from RNAcentral.